Molecule: RNase P RNA, 402 nt
Filed under: Alytes obstetricans (midwife toad)
Lineage: Eukaryota; Metazoa; Chordata; Amphibia; Anura; Alytidae
Description: Nuclear RNase P
Rfam family: Nuclear RNase P
About the family: Ribonuclease P (RNase P) is a ubiquitous endoribonuclease, found in archaea, bacteria and eukarya as well as chloroplasts and mitochondria. Its best characterised activity is the generation of mature 5'-ends of tRNAs by cleaving the 5'-leader elements of precursor-tRNAs. Cellular RNase Ps are ribonucleoproteins.
Source: Rfam by way of RNAcentral
GGAAGGAAGCUCACUGUAGAGGUCAUGUACGGAGUGCGUCACAACUGUGAUGUCACUCCAUUAAUUCCUCCGGGAAGGUCUGAGACAGGAGCCAUUAGCUGCCCUCACAGGGCGUCACCUGAGUGGGUGAGUGAGUCCCCAGCAACCCCACGCUGGAGUGGACCGGCUCGACACGUGGAGUGGGCUCUGCAGGAGAGGCGGGGUGGACUGCAGUGAGAGGGUGGAGUUACAGAUUGACACUCCCACCCAACUCAGUGAGGCUCCGCCCAGCUGAUGCCGCCCCCUCCCCGGGCCUUGGAAGUGGCUCACGGCUGGCUGUGUUAGUCCAAUGGCUGAGGUGGAGCAGCUGCACGGGAUGUGUGCGCGCCCCAUAACCCAAUUCAGACCACUCUCCGGAAUUCC